This is a long non-coding RNA of Mauremys mutica (yellowpond turtle), 1899 nucleotides long. RefSeq lists it as uncharacterized. Lineage: Eukaryota; Metazoa; Chordata; Testudines; Geoemydidae. The transcript has 4 exons. The record is from RefSeq and is a predicted model, not a curated record.
GCAGCAAUGGCUAACAAUCAACUGGGGCAGCAGCUGUGAGAAGUGCAGUGUUAACAUCCAUCACCUCCUGGCACGGACAUCGUCCUCCUUCAAAGUGACAGAUCAGAAGGACCAAUAGACGGGUCAGAGGGAAAUUUGAGUAUAAGUGGUAACAGUCUAAGCAAAACAAGGUGGGAAAGCAAAGGAGAAUUCUAUCAUGAUGAACAUAGGGUAUUGACAUUUUGAAUUGAAGAUGGUGGACACCAGGAUGAAGUUGCAUUGGUGUUACAGACUAAGGUUUGAAACAUUUAUUGAAAUCAGAUAAUGUACAGUGAUCUGACUCUCCACAGAUAGUACAAGACUAUAGCUUUCAUCUACAAGCAGAUCCAGUGCCGGGAACCUCCAAUUCCAGCCAAUUCCAGAGGGGGGCUUCCACUAGAUCCACCCACUUUUCAUCCAGGUCCCUUCAGCAAUUCCCUUGCCGGAACCUUACCGACCCUCAUAGGAGGGGUUAAGGUGGACUAUAAUGAUGGGGGGUUGGCUCACUGCUGUACCAAUCAGAGGAGUCCCCAACUGCUCCCAGCUCGCUCAAUUACCAAGCACCUCUCCUUUGUUCCUUUUCCAAGCCAUUUAUCCGUUCUUUUGUGCCUUAAUUUAUGGAGUACCUGCACUGAACAUCCACCACAAGGAGACGCCAGCCAUUAACUUGGCUGCCUCCUCCCCACUCCCAGCUGGGUUCCCAGACAUCUCCCAAUGCCCUCUUUUAUAUCAGCCAAUAAUAUGGCAGCAGCUGAAUCAGACAUGUGCACCCCAUCCUCCCGAAAUAACUCCAGUGCCCCAUAGAAUAUGCCAGGAUGUAAAAUUACUGCCCCCCCCCCAAGGGCAACAAGAAUUUGGCCACUUCCCUUUCACAUACUUCCUGAUUUUGUCCACGCUGGCGGGGUUCAUGGCACCCCACCAGACACUGCGCUGAAGCAUAUCCGACCAAUGUUAAUGCCUGGAAAAAAAUGGCCAGGAUCUGCAUCAGGUCCCUCCUAGUUCGAAGCAUUAACUCCACCCCUUUAAGUGUUCCCAGAUAAUUUUCUCCCAGGUGUAUCACCAAUAUGUCUGGUGGCCGCUGACAUGCCCGCACAGCAUACAACAGUGGUAUCAGUCAAUCCCAUAACAUGCCCUGCGUGCGUGCCAACUGAGUAAUGCUUCGCCACCAAAUCCCAGCUGGGAGCCCUCGGGCAACCUGGAUGUAUGCCUAUGCACCCAAAACACAAUACUGUGCCCACAGAAUUAUACCGUCAUGUGUAUAACCAGCCAUACCAUAUCUGAAAUGAGAACAACCGAUUAAUGUUGAUUUUCCACCUGCAGACUUACAUAUGAUGGGUAUGCAUUAGACUGCCAGCGCCCGAUUGCCUGAAUAGCCUCUGCUUCCAUGCCCAUUUGUGCUGCUGCCAUGGCUGCCCCUAUUUGGAAUGAGUAGGAACCAAAUUAAUGGACUGGCAGCCCCAACCUCAUUAGCUCCCGUCUCAACAUGGUAAUCAAUUGAUAUGCUGUGAGGGGACUCCCUUCUCCAUGUACAAAAAAGGGGCCUUCUCCCUUCCACCGUAUUGCCACAUAGGCCCUCAACACCAGAACGAGGCAGAUCCAAUAGGGUAACAAAUGCACCCCCGCCAACUUGAUCAGUCUUUGACCUUUGCAAGUGUAAUAUCACUGCAUGGUUGUGCUAGCUUAUGUCACAAAAUUCCAAAGCCUUUCCCAUAGAAUCCAUGAUGGACCCACGCACUAACUCACUGAUCCUGAAAGGACCAAAAAAUGCUGUCAAGAAUGCUGCCCUGAAUAGGGACACCGAGGAUGUGAAGGAGGUCCCUGAGCGUGGAAACCCUGAUGAAACAAUGGGAAUCCUCCAUAGGUCCACUGCUACAUGACCAU